This 251-nucleotide ribosomal RNA is filed under the name uncultured bacterium. Its description in RNAcentral is "partial 16S ribosomal RNA". It matches the Rfam family "Bacterial small subunit ribosomal RNA", at positions 82 to 334 of the family's 1533-position model. The record is from RNAcentral.
CCAAAGCUGGCGACCGGCGCACGGGUGAGUAACACGUAUCCAACCUGCCUCAUACUCGGGGAUAGCCUUUCGAAAGAAAGAUUAAUACCCGAUGGCAUAGUUCUUCCGCAUGGUAGAACUAUUAAAGAAUUUCGGUCAUCGAUGGGGAUGCGUCCCAUUAGGUUGUUGGCGGGGUAACGGCCCACCAAGCCUUCGAUGGAUAGGGGUUCUGAGAGGAAGGUCCCCCACAUUGGAACUGAGACACGGUCCAA